Molecule: long non-coding RNA, 2213 nt
Organism: Raphanus sativus (radish)
Lineage: Eukaryota; Viridiplantae; Streptophyta; Magnoliopsida; Brassicales; Brassicaceae
Exons: 2
Source: RefSeq, a predicted model, not a curated record
UCUAGAGGAAGAGGUGAGUCAACUCGAGCACUCCACGCAUUAAUCUGAUAGCGAUGGAGACAUGUGCCCGAUGAAUGAAACGCCACUAAACUUCACUGCAUGAAAGAUGUCACCGGAGCAAUUCACCGAGAAUCCACCGGAACACAUCAGAACAGGAAGUCACAUGAGAAGAAGCCGUCGGACGACUUUAAAAAUUAAAAGAGCCAGAUGAUCUUCGCCUCAAUAAAGCUUCAAUUGGACACAAACCAAUCUUCAGACAUCGAUUCAGCUGAAAGAACCCCUAGACACCUUUGGAGAUGAGAAGAAGCUUGAAGAUGUCACAGCCCUCAAAGAGGGGAGGAAGAGACAAUCGCAUGUCAAGAUCAGAAGUCAAUUAAAGCGAUGAAGAUCAAGAAGCGUAGAUCUAACAUAACCCAGAUGAAAUCCGGAGAUAGCCAACAACGCCACCGAUGAACAAGCGGCAAUCGUCAGAGUCAAAAGCCAGUGACAAUCAGAGAGUCAGAUACAUCACUAGAGUCAAAAGCCGAAAGUUCCGUCAAAGAGAACGCGAGCAACCAGAGUCAAAGCCAGCCGACCACCAUAAAGAUGAGAUGCUGGAAAGAGGAUCCAACCGGACAGAAUUUCGCCGUAAACACUGGCAUGAGUUUUCUCUCUUCACUUUCUCUAAUUUUGAAAUGUGAAAAGAAGGAGAGAGAACAAAAAGAAAGAGAGAGAAAACUGCGUUACUUUUUCAGCACCUUUGUUUGUUUAUAGAUAUAAACUUGAGGUAAUACCACACUGAACAUUCAAUAAUUUUCAUAAAAUUAGAAAAUUGUAUAAAAAGAAUUAUUUAUUGUUUUUGAAAUGUGAAAACAUUUUUGUUUUCAUCAAAUUCGUUCGAGUUUGUUCUAUGUCGUGAAGGCGGUUCUCGAUUCUUAUAUAAAAACAAUUAGACCAUCGUUAUCGCCGUUCCUUAACAAGGUUUUUAGUGUAAUUGAAUCAAAAUUAGCUUUUAUUAGAAAAAAACGUUCCUUGAUUAAGGGACAAUACUAAACGUUUCUUAGUAACACGUGUCUCUCAUUGAGGAAUUUGGAUUUCUUCUCUCUCCAUCUCUCUCUUGACAAAAAUUGUUCUUCUCUCCACAUCUCUCUCUGUGAUUCUCCUCAUCGCAUCCUCUGUUUCUUGAUCUCUAUAUUCUUUUCAUGAUAAUAAUGGGAAAAAGCACAAUCAAAGAAGGAGAAUGAGAUCCCUAAUGUGUAAAAUCACACAACGAGAAGCCGCAUAGAUUGAUGAGACCUUGAUGUGUCCUCUUGGCUUCUCCGUUGAUCAGCUCAUGGUCUUCUUUUCUUCUUCUCCCUCUUCCGCUUUUGAUUUUACCCGCAGAGAUUGAUCAGACCUUGAUGGGUCCUCGUGGCUGAGGUUUAUCUUGGCGUGGUUAAGGUCUUACAUGGAUUGUAUGGAUUGAGAUCAAUUUCCCUGCAGUGGCUGAGGUUUCCAGAGCAGUACAGGUCCAGGAUCACUGCAAUAAAUGGAUGAAACCGCCACCAGGAGAUUGAUCAAAGUUACUUUAUUACCACUGUUGCUGGGAAGAAGGCUCUUGAAAGUUCUGGUCUUGGUGGUGAUAAGCUUAGCACGGUACUACUCUUUUAGAUUGAUCAAAGUUCAGAGCUUUGACUCAUUCAGUUUAGAUGCUAAAUGACAGCAGGGAAGUGAAAGAUUAUUCCUUAAGCUGCUGGUGUCAUCAUCCCUUUAGCUUUGACCCUUCUGGUCCACAACGCUAAGAGAGACAAAGAAACGAGGAGUGACUGUCGACGACGUCGGUGGAGAGCCUGGUCACACCGUUAGGAACCACAGGUUCAAAGAUCCAGUCAGCUCCCACUGGGAAGACAUCUCCACUUUCCCGGAGCUCUUCGACAUCUCGUGUAAGAACCACAGCGACAAGUUUUUCCUCGGGACCAGGAGGCUGAUCGCUAGGGGGGUCGAGACUAGCGAGGACGGGAAAGUGUUUGAGAAGCUUCAUUUGGGUGAUUACGAGUGGAAGACGUUCGGAGAAAUGCUUGACGCUAUGUAGUUUUGCUUCUGGUUUGGUAAGGAUUGGUUACUAGGAACCAACCUAAAAGUAUCAGCAAUAAUCUCUUUUUUUCUUAAUGUUCCUUAACAUUAUUCUUUAGCUCAAAAAUACUAAUAAACAAUGCUAAGACCUCUCUAACAAUAAUGUUGCUCUUAAGACAAUU